RNAcentral lists this ribosomal RNA (253 nucleotides) under uncultured bacterium. RNAcentral describes it as "partial 16S ribosomal RNA". It matches the Rfam family "Bacterial small subunit ribosomal RNA", at positions 524 to 776 of the family's 1533-position model. The record is from RNAcentral.
UACGUAGGCAGCAAGCGUUGUUCGGAGUUACUGGGCGUAAAGGGUGUGUAGGCGGUUCUUUAAGUUCGCUGUGAAAUCUCCCGGCUCAACUGGGAGGGUGCGGCGGAAACUAGAGUGCUCGAGUGUGGGAGAGGUAAGCGGAAUUCCUGGUGUAGCGGUGAAAUGCGUAGAUAUCAGGAGGAACACCUGCGGUGUAGACAGCUUACUGGACCACGACUGACGCUGAGACACGAAAGCGUGGGUAGCAAACAGG